This is a small nucleolar RNA of Octodon degus (degu), 71 nucleotides long. The record is from Ensembl. Lineage: Eukaryota; Metazoa; Chordata; Mammalia; Rodentia; Octodontidae.
UGGAUUCAUGAUGACCACCUGUGGGGUAUGAGUCAAAUGCGAUGAAUACCUGUCCUGAAACUGAGGUUCAG